This 480-nucleotide ribosomal RNA is filed under the name uncultured bacterium. RNAcentral's name for it is "SSU rRNA". It matches the Rfam family "Bacterial small subunit ribosomal RNA", at positions 26 to 518 of the family's 1533-position model. The record is from RNAcentral.
AGGAUGAACGCUGGCGGCGUGCUUAACACAUGCAAGUCGAACGAUGAUCCGGUGCUUGCACCGGGGAUUAGUGGCGAACGGGUGAGUAACACGUGAGUAACCUGCCCUUAACUCUGGGAUAAGCCUGGGAAACUGGGUCUAAUACCGGAUAUGACUCCUCAUCGCAUGGUGGGGGGUGAAAGCUUUAUUGUGGUUUUGGAUGGACUCGCGGCCUAUCAGCUUGUUGGUGAGGUAAUGGCUCACCAAGGCGACGACGGGUAGCCGGCCUGAGAGGGUGACCGGCCACACUGGGACUGAGACACGGCCCAGACUCCUACGGGAGGCAGCAGUGGGGAAUAUUGCGCAAUGGGCGAAAGCCUGACGCAGCGACGCCGCGUGAGGGACGAAGGCCUUCGGGUUGUAAACCUCUUUCAGCAGGGACGAAGCGAGAGUGACGGUACCUGCAGAAGAAGCACCGGCCAACUACGUGCCAGCAGCCGC